This 505-nucleotide ribosomal RNA is filed under the name uncultured bacterium. Its description in RNAcentral is "partial 16S ribosomal RNA". It matches the Rfam family "Bacterial small subunit ribosomal RNA", at positions 28 to 507 of the family's 1533-position model. The record is from RNAcentral.
GACGAACGCUGGCGGCGUGCCUAAUACAUGCAAGUCGAACGCACAGUUUAUACCCUAGCUUGCUACACCAUAGACUGUGAGUUGCGAACGGGUGAGUAACGCGUAGGUAACCUGCCUGGUAGCGGGUGAUAACUAUUGGAAACGAUAGCUAAUACCGCAUAAUAUUAAUUAUUCCAUGAUAAUUAAUUGAAAGGUGCAAUUUCACCACUACAUGAUGGCCCUGCGGUGUAUUAGCUAGUAGGGGAGGUAACGGCUCACCUAGGCGAAGAUACAUAGCCGACCUGGGGAGGGGGUCGGCCACACUGGGAAUGAGAACACGCCCAGACUCCUACGGGAGGCAGCAGGAGGGAAUCUUUCGGAAUGGGGGGAAGUCUGAACGAGCAACGCCGCGGGAGUGAAGAAGGUUCUCGGAUCGGUAAGAUCCGUUUUAAGGGAAGAAAGGGAGUGGGAGUGGAAAGUGCACAUUGUGACGGUAUCUUACCAGAAAGGGACGGCUAACUACGUG